AAAGUACUCCCUCCGUCCCAAAAUUCUUGUCUUAGAUUUGUCUAGAUACGGAUGUAUCAAGUCACAUUUUAGUAUUAGAUACAUCUGUAUCUAGAUAAAUCUAAGACAAGAAAUUUGGGACAGAGGGAGUAGUUG
This is a non-coding RNA of Triticum aestivum (bread wheat), 135 nucleotides long. NCBI's taxonomy places the organism in Eukaryota, Viridiplantae, Streptophyta, Magnoliopsida, Poales, Poaceae. The record is from Rfam.